CUGGCUCAGGACGAACGCUGGCGGCGUGCUUAACACAUGCAAGUCGAACGAUGAAGCCCUUUCGGGGGUGGAUUA
RNAcentral lists this ribosomal RNA (75 nucleotides) under Streptomyces sp. WMMB 714. RNAcentral's name for it is "16S rRNA. Bacterial SSU". Lineage: Bacteria; Bacillati; Actinomycetota; Actinomycetes; Kitasatosporales; Streptomycetaceae. The record is from RNAcentral.